AGUCAUCGAUGGCAUCGAUGGGGGAAGAUCUCUUCUAUAUAUACAUGUGAUGUGUGUAUAGCUGAGUCUGUCUCCCUCUGCCAGACGAUAUACACGGUCAUCGUGUUGGCCGCCCUGAGAUGUAUUCAGAUCCAUAGGACAUCUCUUUCAGAGACGUUCUAUAUAACAUCUCUCUGGGUACCCAUCUCAUAGGGCUUUCUCGUUGGCAAUAAUAGGUUGGUUGUCCGAGUUGUUAGUAAGGAGAACCGCCUCUAUAUGUCGACAAGCCCUUGAACUUAUGGUGGGGAUACGCUAAAUAAAGAGCCUUCUCUUCAUCAAGGAUGUGGGUCGUGUGCGUGGGUCUGUUCCCUGGGCUACCCGAACGAAAUAAGUAUCGAUACGCGAUCUGAGAAAGAAAUUGGGUGCACCUAUUAUACAACACGCGGUUGUAUGAGUAUCCGUCUGUCCAUGUGGACAACUCUCAACAACGGAUAUCUUGGCUCUCAGAUCGAUGAAGAACGCAGCGAAAUGCGAUAUGUAGUGUGAAUUGCAGAAAUACGUGAAUCAUCAAAUUUUUGAACGCAAAUUGCGCUUGAGGCUUCGGCCAAGAGCAUGUCUGCCUCAGCGUCGGGUUGUCCUUCACGCAACGGAAGAAGAGCUCAAAGCUGCUUUGCUGUCCGUCACGUGGAUAUGGCUAUCCCAGCCCCGUAGCCCCUUCGGAUGUAAGAGGGGGUGCACAGCUGGGUUUGCUAAAAUGAUGAUGUUGGACUCUGUGGACCGCUUAACGAGUCUCUACUAGGUAGUGCAGGCAAGACAUAUAUACUCUAUAUAUGAUAUGCCUAUGCUCUAUCUGAAUAGUGGAUGCUUGGGCCCACUGUGUUUGGCACACAAAAGGCAGGAGAGGUGUUGUGUAUGAUAUGAUGAUCGAUAUGGUAAGAUAGUGUCUUACCUAUAUAUAUGAUCUAAUAUCGGUACACGACGCCUUCACCCACAAAAGAAGAUACACUCCUCGACCUGAGCUCAGGCAAGA
This 1009-nucleotide small RNA is filed under the name Volvox africanus. RNAcentral's name for it is "eukaryotic LSU rRNA". The stretch from base 456 to 609 matches the Rfam family "5.8S ribosomal RNA". The record is from RNAcentral. Lineage: Eukaryota; Viridiplantae; Chlorophyta; Chlorophyceae; Chlamydomonadales; Volvocaceae.